This is a long non-coding RNA of Pseudoliparis swirei, 610 nucleotides long. RefSeq lists it as uncharacterized. NCBI's taxonomy places the organism in Eukaryota, Metazoa, Chordata, Actinopteri, Perciformes, Liparidae. The record is from RefSeq and is a predicted model, not a curated record. The transcript is spliced from 2 exons.
CGCCGCGAGCUCCUGCUCCGCCGCCAGCAACGACGUCAACUACAACGCUGGAGGUCACCGGAGGAAAUCCAGCGCCUUGCAACAAAGAGCUCAUCACCGAAGACCAACGCUGCAGUGCGUUCUUCAUUCUGUUCCACGAGACUCUGGACCAGACCACCGCGAGCAGACAGCUGGACUUCAUGUGCUCUUGGUGAAAUGACCACGUCCAGUCAGGAUCCUGUGGAGCUCAUGGGCCAUGACACCAGGACCUACUUCAGCACCUCAAAGAGAAUGGACCAAAUGUCAACUGGAAGUUUUUAUAUUAAUACAGUUUGAAAAGGAUUGUUUUCCUAGUAUAUUCACAAAAGCUCAGGAGUAGACAUGAACCUGUGCACAGACAUCCAUCACAUAGAGACAUGAGAACUCACUCACUCACAUACAUUCUAUUAUGUAAAUGAAUUUGCAUUUUAAAAGCAGCUGGAAAUGUUUUGUUAUUUUAUGGAUUUUUUUUUGUUCAAAAGGAACUAUGUUGCAUGUAUUUUUUAAAUAUAUUUACUUAAUUUUAGAGACAUUUGUUCAUGGGACUUAAAUGUUCUGAAAAUGUAUUAAUAAAUAUAAUUUACAACAGCAA